AAUCCAUGUUGAGGGCAGCGUUGAAUCAAAUCUUUACAUCUUUUCCACGCUUCAUAGAGUGACUCAAUCAUUUUACUUGAAUUGACCAAUCUCACUCUUGAGUUA
Molecule: small nucleolar RNA, 105 nt
Organism: Carya illinoinensis
Lineage: Eukaryota; Viridiplantae; Streptophyta; Magnoliopsida; Fagales; Juglandaceae
Source: RefSeq, a predicted model, not a curated record